This 439-nucleotide ribosomal RNA is filed under the name uncultured bacterium. Its description in RNAcentral is "partial 16S ribosomal RNA". It matches the Rfam family "Bacterial small subunit ribosomal RNA", at positions 339 to 795 of the family's 1533-position model. The record is from RNAcentral.
CUACGGGACGCUCCAGUGAGGAAUAUUGCACAAUGGGGGGAACCCUGAUGCAGCAACGCCGCGUGGAGGAUGACGCAUUUCGGUGUGUAAACUCCUUUUAUAUGUCAAGAAAAUGACGGUAGCAUAUGAAUAAGCACCGGCUAACUCCGUACCAGCAGCCGCGGUAAUACGGAGGGUGCAAGCGUUACUCGGAAUCACUGGGCGUAAAGGACGCGUAGGCGGGUUGGAAAGUCAGGUGUGAAAUCCUACAGCUUAACUGUAGAACUGCACUUGAAACUUCUAAUCUAGAGUAUGGGAGGGGGAGAUGGAAUUAGUGGUGUAGGGGUAAAAUCCGUAGAUAUCACUAGGAAUACCUAAGGCGAAGGCGAUCUCCUGGAACAUUACUGACGCUAAGGCGUGAAAGCGUGGGGAGCAAACAGGAUUAGAUACCCCCGUAGUC